RNAcentral lists this microRNA (22 nucleotides) under Capitella teleta. Its description in RNAcentral is "Cte-Mir-10-P5_3p* (star (passenger))". Lineage: Eukaryota; Metazoa; Annelida; Polychaeta; Capitellidae. The record is from RNAcentral.
CCCCUCAGUUUGCAGGGUACAA